RNAcentral lists this unclassified non-coding RNA (23 nucleotides) under Mus musculus (house mouse). RNAcentral's name for it is "oocyte_clustered_small_RNA7296". The record is from RNAcentral. Lineage: Eukaryota; Metazoa; Chordata; Mammalia; Rodentia; Muridae.
UGUUCUGCAAACUGUAUCUUGGG